CUACUCUUGACAUCCAGAGAAUUUGCUAGAGAUAGCUUAGUGCCUUCGGGAACUCUGAGACAGGUGCUGCAUGGCUGUCGUCAGCUCGUGUUGUGAAAUGUUGGGUUAAGUCCCGCAACGAGCGCAACCCUUAUCCUUUGUUGCCAGCACGUAAUGGUGGGAACUCAAAGGAGACUGCCGGUGAUAAACCGGAGGAAGGUGGGGAUGACGUCAAGUCAUCAUGGCCCUUACGAGUAGGGCUACACACGUGCUACAAUGGCGCAUACAGAGAGAAGCGACCUCGCGAGAGCAAGCGGACCUCAUAAAGUGCGUCGCAGUCCGGAUUGGAGUCUGCAACUCGACUCCAUGAAGUCGGAAUCGCUAGUAAUCGUAGAUCAGAAUGCUACGGUGAAUACGUUCCC
RNAcentral lists this ribosomal RNA (401 nucleotides) under uncultured bacterium. RNAcentral's name for it is "bacterial SSU rRNA". It matches the Rfam family "Bacterial small subunit ribosomal RNA", at positions 975 to 1375 of the family's 1533-position model. The record is from RNAcentral.